GUGCUUUAUAAAAGGAGAGAAGAUUUAGCAGUCCCCUUGAUAAGGAUGGAAGAGGCCAUUGCACCUGACACCAUACAUAUGGUUAAGGCAUUGCCACCUACUUCAUGGCAUUUAACCACUGUUUUUG
Small nuclear RNA from Fukomys damarensis (Damara mole-rat), 127 nucleotides. NCBI's taxonomy places the organism in Eukaryota, Metazoa, Chordata, Mammalia, Rodentia, Bathyergidae. The record is from Ensembl.